Long non-coding RNA from Branchiostoma floridae (Florida lancelet), 168 nucleotides. RefSeq lists it as uncharacterized. The transcript has 3 exons. The record is from RefSeq and is a predicted model, not a curated record. NCBI's taxonomy places the organism in Eukaryota, Metazoa, Chordata, Leptocardii, Amphioxiformes, Branchiostomatidae.
CUAACAUCGCUGAAAUGCUCCAAAUGGAAAAAGACGUCUUGUUGGCUGAACAGAGAGAGGUGGCUGAGCAGACCACCAUCGCCGCCAACUGGUUAAAGACAAAAAAUGACGCCUUCCUGGCCAAGCAAAGAGACCUAAAACAGUACCUAAGUAGUCAUCACGUGAACA